This is a long non-coding RNA of Papilio polytes (common Mormon), 474 nucleotides long. RefSeq lists it as uncharacterized. The transcript has 2 exons. NCBI's taxonomy places the organism in Eukaryota, Metazoa, Arthropoda, Insecta, Lepidoptera, Papilionidae. The record is from RefSeq and is a predicted model, not a curated record.
CUCACACGACUUCAAUUUUAUUUUGCGUGCACAAAACUCUUACUCGCUUAGCAUAAUAGGUUUUAUUUUCUUAAUUUUAAUUGCAAAAUAGAAUUAAUUCCUGUUGUACGUUGUAUUUAUUAUUUCCAUGGUACCAACCCUUACAAAGGUCAGCUAAUCGCAACCAUACGCUCUUUGAUCACAACUAGUUUGUCUAUGGCGAAGACCAAAACAGAAAAGAUUUCGAGCUUCGGUAGAUUCGGGUUCAAAUUAGAAUUUAGAACGAAUUGAUUGAAUGAAACAUAUCAGUCGUGGUUAAUUUGUAAUGAUUUACAUUUUGUUUAUUCUUGGAAGUUUAUACUUUCCUUGUGUUUCACGAUCGGAAUACUCUAAUCAUACAUUAAAAAAUAUCAUUGUAUGUCGUUCUUGUGGCAAUAAUAUUACUGGUACCGAAGCGAUAACUUCUAAGCGUAGUGGAGAAUCUAGUCAUACAUU